UCGUCGAUGGCGGGGCGACACAGGUCGGCAUCGAGUCGACGAUCGUCGCCUGUAUCGGCGAUGCGCCGGUUCUGCUGCGGCCCGGCGGCC
This 90-nucleotide transfer RNA is filed under the name Variibacter gotjawalensis. RNAcentral describes it as "tRNA-Arg". The record is from RNAcentral. Lineage: Bacteria; Pseudomonadati; Pseudomonadota; Alphaproteobacteria; Hyphomicrobiales; Nitrobacteraceae.